RNAcentral lists this unclassified non-coding RNA (233 nucleotides) under uncultured fungus. RNAcentral describes it as "sequence contains ITS1, 5.8S rRNA gene". The stretch from base 185 to 233 matches the Rfam family "5.8S ribosomal RNA", at positions 1 to 49 of the family's 154-position model. Lineage: Eukaryota; Fungi. The record is from RNAcentral.
UCUCCGUUGGUGAACCAGCGGAGGGAUCAUUACAGGACUCGCAAGACUCCCGUAACCACUGUGAACCUACCUAUACUCGUUGCCUCGGCGGGUGCUCCGGCUCGCUCCGGAGCGCUACGCCCGCCGGCGGCACACAACUCUUGUCUCUUGCGUUGGCAUCUCCGAGCAAACAAAAACGAGUCAAAACUUUUAACAACGGAUCUCUUGGUUCUGGCAUCGAUGAAGAACGCAGC